GUUGACCUCGGAUCAGGUAGGGAUACCCGCUGAACUUAAGCAUAUCAAUAAGCGCAGGA
Molecule: ribosomal RNA, 59 nt
Filed under: Cercospora zeae-maydis
Lineage: Eukaryota; Fungi; Ascomycota; Dothideomycetes; Mycosphaerellales; Mycosphaerellaceae
Also listed under: 1 other name
Description: partial 28S ribosomal RNA
Source: RNAcentral